AUUGAACGCUGGCGGCAGGCCUAACACAUGCAAGUCGAGCGGAUGAGUGGAGCUUGCUCCAUGAUUCAGCGGCGGACGGGUGAGUAAUGCCUAGGAAUCUGCCUGGUAGUGGGGGACAACGUUUCGAAAGGAACGCUAAUACCGCAUACGUCCUACGGGAGAAAGCAGGGGACCUUCGGGCCUUGCGCUAUCAGAUGAGCCUAGGUCGGAUUAGCUAGUAGGUGAGGUAAUGGCUCACCUAGGCGACGAUCCGUAACUGGUCUGAGAGGAUGAUCAGUCACACUGGAACUGAGACACGGUCCAGACCCCUACGGGAGGCAGCAGUGGGGGAAUAUUGGACAAUGGGCGCAAGACCUGAUCCAGCCAUGCCGCGUGCAGGAAGAAGCAUCUAUGGUGUGUAAACUG
This 405-nucleotide ribosomal RNA is filed under the name uncultured bacterium. RNAcentral describes it as "bacterial SSU rRNA". It matches the Rfam family "Bacterial small subunit ribosomal RNA", at positions 30 to 432 of the family's 1533-position model. The record is from RNAcentral.